GUAUUCAAGGAGCAGGAGAACAACAAUACGGAACGCUGAUGCUUUAAGCGCUGAAACGGAGCCCCGAGAUGGCCGCGUCUCGCUCCCGCGGAGUAUAUAAUCCUGAAGAUUUCACACCAGAAAGUUGACUACA
Long non-coding RNA from Myotis daubentonii (Daubenton's bat), 133 nucleotides. RefSeq lists it as uncharacterized. NCBI's taxonomy places the organism in Eukaryota, Metazoa, Chordata, Mammalia, Chiroptera, Vespertilionidae. The record is from RefSeq and is a predicted model, not a curated record.